Molecule: long non-coding RNA, 387 nt
Organism: Beta vulgaris subsp. vulgaris (sugar beet)
Lineage: Eukaryota; Viridiplantae; Streptophyta; Magnoliopsida; Caryophyllales; Amaranthaceae
Exons: 2
Source: RefSeq, a predicted model, not a curated record
AAAUUCAAUCACGGUAUGUACUUCACAGUGAAGAUAGACUGCGAAAAUUUUGUCGAAUUUCCUUGAAUUGAUUUAAUUCACUCAGCGUGGUUAGGUGCCAGAUUCUCUGGUUUAUACAGCUAUGUUUCCAAUAUGGAGAAUGGUGGAGAAACUGGACAAAACUCUCAUUAGUUUUUCCCUAUCAUCGCUCUUAAGCAGGGUGUUACAUGACUUGAAAGUAAAAUGGGUUGUAAAAGUGAUAGAUAUUGAAUAGAUAGUUGCAGAGUUUUUGUGCACUUUGGUACAUCUAUCUAACUUAUACGAUAGCUAAUUUUGCGCUUGCUGUAUCUUUGAUUAUUGUAGUAAACAAAAAAGAAUCUAAAUGAAGUGAUAGCUUUAGCCAAGAAA